Molecule: ribosomal RNA, 681 nt
Filed under: uncultured bacterium
Lineage: Bacteria
Description: bacterial SSU rRNA
Rfam family: Bacterial small subunit ribosomal RNA
Source: RNAcentral
GUCCUUCUUGAGUAUGGGAGAGGAGAGCGGAAUUCCCAGUGGAGAGGUGAAAUUCGUAGAUAUUGGGAAGAACACCAGUGGCGAAGGCGGCUCUCUGGACCAAUACUGACGCUGAAGUGCGAAAGCGUGGGGAGCAAACAGGAUUAGAGACCCUGGUAGUCCACGCUGUAAACGAUGAGAACUAGGUGUAGCGGGUAUUGACCCCUGCUGUGCCGCAGUUAACGCAUUAAGUUCUCCGCCUGGGGACUACUGCCGCAAGGUUAAAACUCAAAGGAAUUGACGGGGGCCCGCACAAGCGGUGGAGUAUGUGGUUUAAUUCGACGCAACGCGAAGAACCUUACCUGGGCUUGACAUCCUCUGACAGCUCCGGAAACGGAGUCUUCCCGGUUUACCGGGACAGAGUGACAGGUGCUGCAUGGCUGUCGACAGCUCGUGUCGUGAGAUGUUGGGUUAAGUCCCGCAACGAGCGCAACCCUUGUCUUUAGUUGCCAGUAUUAAGUUAGGCACUCUAAAGAGACUGCCUCGGUUAACGAGGAGGAAGGUGGGGAUGACGUCAAGUCCUCAUGGCCUUUAUGCCCAGGGCUACACACGUACUACAAUGGACUGUACAAAGGGUCGCUACACUGCAAAGUGAUGCUAAUCCCAAAAAGCAGUCCCCAGUUCGGAUUGGAGUCUGCAACU